UUGGGAUGGGGUGAAAAGUUUUGCUUCAUGUGCAACAUCCAAGUGCACCCACAACUGCCAGAUUAACCACCCCCAGGUGUGAUAAAUGUGCCAGCCUGAGCACCUGGGCCUCUCUUGGAGCUGGUAUCGUUUGGGGCUGUGAGGCUCAGCUGUCCUGGGAGCUUCGCCUUCCUGCUGCCAUGUGCAGGCCGGAAAGCUGUGGGCAGUGCAAAGCUGGGUUUGGCUCUGUGAUGUGCAGCCUGUGGGUGCCUUGGAGGGAAGGCAGUGGAUGUGGACUGAGAAGCAAGUCGUUUUUUCCAGAGCAAGGGAGACUUGCGAUGAAGUACCUGGAAACUGGGUGAAGCAUAUCAGUGGUAUAUGAACUCUAAAAGGAAAACAGUUUUCAUCACUAUUGCCUGAACUUCUUAGAGUGACACUAUUUUUAAUUUUUCUUGCAGCUUUGAGACAAAUUGUACCUCUAUCUUAUGUUGGUUUAGACCCUUCCAUAACUGAUUCAAAAUGCAAAGGACUUUGAAGCAAUGUUUUUAGUUAUGGUGUGUCCAUUUAACAAUAUCUGUCAUGGAUAGAAAAUUCAUGAAAUUCAUGUGCUUGAAUGUAAUAAAAAAAAAAAAAAAACAGCGGGGG
Molecule: long non-coding RNA, 624 nt
Organism: Oxyura jamaicensis (ruddy duck)
Lineage: Eukaryota; Metazoa; Chordata; Aves; Anseriformes; Anatidae
Exons: 3
Source: RefSeq, a predicted model, not a curated record